CUUCAGAAGCUGCACACUCCGGAUCGCUUUUACAGGCUGCAGCUCUCGCCGGGCAAAUAUUCUGCUCCAAUAGCGUCGGACAUCGUCCCGUCACGUGGAGCGCUGAGUGCUCUGCGAAAACGACGUAUCAUGAAUGUUUUUUGGAUUCUUUGGACGAUCGACAAACCUGAAAUAUUCUACUCACCGGCUGUAACGGAAUGCGAUGAAAACAAGGCGAAGAUCUGGAAGGUUAAUAUCAACACCCACACAACGGCGCAGGCAUUUCCCCCGCUGCAAAAGUCACGGCGCAUCCUCAACACAUCAAGGGGAUUUUUAAUACCUCACUAUUCUGAAAGAAGAGGAAACACGUUUCAUCGUUAGCCUCUCCCUCCUUCUCUCUCACUUUGUCGUCGUGGGGAAAAUACGAGAACGGUGAACCGAUGCUCCUGGAGGAAUUGGCCCCGUGGAUGCGUGAAUGACCAUCGGGUCCAGGAUCUAUAGAUCUAUUCACCAUUCGUCGGAAGUUUCUUCUCCGAAACUCGAGUCAAUCGGGGUGAAGGUUACGGCCAUGAAUCGUCUCGACGAUGGAAUUAACCUGGAUUAGACUCGGCCAAAAAUGAUCGACGAGGCAAAACUGAUCUAAUUUCAAAAAUGUCGGAUAAAUCACUGCUGCAGCAGGCGAGGCGAAGAGAAUCCGUUGGCUGCGUUGGACGAAGAACGGGUUCCAGUCUUGGCGGUUGAACCCGCUCUCAUGCAGGCGGCGGCAUUCCGAAACGCCUGAAGGCGUUUCUUCGUCGAGGCCCAGUGACCGACAUUCGGUCGUUCGUGACGCGACGCCUCCUCUCCACCUCUCUUUCUCUCUCUCUCUCUCUGAGGCAGGUUCUUCACCUGCAUCUCGUCGCCGUCCCACGUCGGAAUCAUCGUACCUCUUAUGUUUGUUUUGUUUUUGGGUACUUUUUUUCAACAUUUUUCUCCCCCAAUUUAUAUUCUAAUUUUAAAAUUCCUCGCCCCGAAGAACUUUUUAUACAUUACAUUCCGACCUAUCUGUUUUAUUCAUGUCUCUCUUCGGGAACCAAAGAGAAAGAGAGUAAGUGUGUGUCUGUGUGUGUGUGUGAGAGAGAGAGAGAGAGAGCAUUGCUGAUAAGAACCUGUAUCGAGGGAUUUUCAAACGACGGGGAAAAGGAGGGGAGGUUCCAGCCGAACGGUGGGAGCGAGAAGACGCCGUGAAAUCCGUGAUCGAAGGUCUAGGUCGCGGAGCUUCCUUGUACCGGUGAUUUCAACGCGCCUUGACACACUGCACUCGGUUCCGGUACACCUAAUUAUGAGUCAUUUUUCGGCUGUUCACCCACUAAAAAUUCCGCUUCUUGUUACGUGCUAAUUUCGUCGAUAUCUCUUUUUCUCUCUCUGCCGUUUUGUGUCGAUCUUUUACCAAAUUACCAAUGAUUAAUAUUGAAAUAAAUAAUCGAAGCUUGAGAUAGUAUAUAUGUAUCGUGCGUUUUUCCCUAAGUAUGUUUCGAAUUGUCUGUCUAAACGCAUUGCAAUGUUCACACACCUUCCUCAAUUAGACGUAGAAUUCAAAAGUUUAACAAGUCCAUAAUCAGUGCGAAUUUUUUGCACGCAUGCCAGUUUUCUGAUACAAAAAUCAAUCCUUACCUCACGCGUUAUCAAUAAUUGGAUCGCACGAAUUGGGGUUGAUUAUAAUUUUGUAAUUUUUCUUUGUUGGGAAAAAUUGUGUGAAAUAUCUAUAAGAAAACAGCGGACCUCACGUUGAAAAAAAAAAAAAACCACUAAUAAUCAGGCAAUAUCAAUAUUAUUGAUGAUACACCGUAAAUAAGUUCUUCUCAAAUCCACCCAAUUGUAACAAACGUUUGUUUGCAAUUGCGUGACAAUCUUUCCGUGCGACGACGCGUAUCCCGAAUUCCCAUGCAUGGCUACGGAUUCUACCGGAUGUAGGUUAGUGUCGAAGCGUCUCUGAGUGCUCUCCGCGAGCGUAUAUCCGGGGUAUUUUAUCAAUUAAUAAAUCUAGCUCAACGAAGCCCGAUGUAUGUAUAUAUAUAUCGCGGGAAAGGCGGGUAGCGAUGAUGAUGCUCGUGUCUCUGUAUGUGUGUAUUUAUUUACGUAUGUAUGUAUGUGUGUUAUUGCACGUACGUACGUAUAGCGUUAAAUUCGUUACCUGUGAAACCCGGACGUUUGCAAAUGCGGUAUGUAUUAUGUAGGUAGGAUAACGGUGACCUACCGCCGCAGCUCUUUUCACAAAGUGUAUUUUACGCCGCUGCCAUUGCGGCCUCCACACUCGCACACAUUCGCAGGAAAUAUAUAUAUCUCGUACUCGAGUUUGCGGAUUCGUGCAUACAUACCCAUUUCCUAUCUCUGCGCAGUCCGUUUAUAGGUAGGCACAUACCUCUGCAAACGAUUUCACGGAGACGCGUCAUGUUGCGGUAUUGUUCGAAAUUUAAAGGCAACUAGUAGAAAUCGAAAAAACUUCUUUGUUACUAUAGACUCUAGCCGUAAUAAAAAUUCUCAUCGAUUUUCAGAAAACUUCUGUAAUGACUUGUUUAAUUGAAGUAGGAAAAAUUUGGACCAUUCCUAUUUUACAAUUUCUACAUCACAUUGAAGUUGGUAACGUUAUCGCAACGAUUCAUACUGAGGAUAAAUCGUUAUUUCGCGAUUUUGGAAUUGUCUGAAAUUCGGUAAACCGUAAUAAAACGAAACUCAAUCAUAUUUUGGAAUCAUAGUUCCUUCAAAAUUAUUGUAAAAUUAAGAAAAUAGUGAUUUAUUUGAUAACGUUACUAACUUCAAUCUGGUAUUUCUAUGCACAUUCUAGAAUCAAACUAUAAUCACCACUAUUCGAUAUUUUUAUAACGCAAUUCCAGUUUGCUCAUCAGAAAAAUAUACUUUUCUAUUCGAAUUAAUUAGCGGUGAACAUUAUUCUCCAAUGAAUAUGGACGUAACUGAAUCAUUGUUAUUUCACGUUUAGAUGCUCGGAGGUACGAGAGCUGGAAAAAAAUCGUAGCGGUAGAAUGUGGUGAAUGUAUGGCCAGCACUUUUUUGGAGUUAAAUCUACAGCAAUUGUGACAAGAUUUACAAACCCGAUAACAAGAGUUACAAAACCAGCAGUAAGAGUUACAAUAUACUUAGGCAGAUGUAACACAAUCGAUGUAGAUUUGACUCCAAAAAAAUGCUGUCCAUACGUUCACCACGGCAGAUGUAAAAUCUAAAUUUAAUUUUUAUCCGUGCAUCUUUUGAAAUUUUAGGCACGCAUUAUGACUGGUACACUGUAGGUACACACAUACUUGUGUAGAUACUGCGGCGAGGUGGAUGGCCUCGGAAACUUGUGUGCGUCAAUGUAUGUAGAAAGUGUCGCGCGGUAUGGAGCUAAAAAAGGAGGAUCGAAACCGGCGACGCGGAGGCGUGAGAGGAGUCGUGGAAUUUAAAAUUUAAAGAGUAAAAAGAAAAUUAAGUAAACCGAAACAGCCAACAUUCUGAUCGAUAAAUUAAAUUGCUUAUCCGUAGAGCGUCGCGUCUUUGAUUGAUUGAUGAUUAUAAGAUUUGUAGUAAUCUUAUGUUAAGUUAUACACUUGACAAACUGGAAUUAUUAACAAUAGUAUUAUACUUUGUUGUAUUGAUUUUUCUAGAAAAUAAGAUCAUUUCUUAAAAAUAUCUGUAUCGACCUCACUUUUAUAUAAUAAUUAAAGAUUAGGUAUAAUAAAUCUGUUCCAACAUC
RNAcentral lists this long non-coding RNA (3703 nucleotides) under Neodiprion pinetum (white pine sawfly). RNAcentral's name for it is "uncharacterized LOC124223007". The record is from RNAcentral. Lineage: Eukaryota; Metazoa; Arthropoda; Insecta; Hymenoptera; Diprionidae.